UGAGGAAUAUUGGUCAAUGGACGAGAGUCUGAACCAGCCAAGUAGCGUGCAGGAUGACGGCACUAUGGGUUGUUAACUGCUUUUGUUUGGGAAUAAUCGACAUUACGUGUAAUGUUUUGCAUGUACCAUUCGAAUAAGGACCGGCUAAUUCCGUGCCAGCAGCCGCGGUAAUACGGAAGGUCCAGGCGUUAUCCGGAUUUAUUGGGUUUAAAGGGAGUGUAGGCGGUUGGUUAAGCGUGUUGUGAAAUGUAGAUGCUCAACAUCUGACUUGCCGCGCGAACUGGCUGACUUGAGUACACACAACGUAGGCGGAAUUCAUGGUGUAGCGGUGAAAUGCUUAGAUAUCAUGAAGAACUCCGAUUGCGAAGGCAGCUUACGGGAGUGUUACUGACGCUUAAGCUCGAAGGUGCGGGUAUCGAACAGG
Molecule: ribosomal RNA, 424 nt
Filed under: Verrucomicrobiota bacterium
Lineage: Bacteria; Pseudomonadati; Verrucomicrobiota
Description: Verrucomicrobia bacterium partial 16S ribosomal RNA
Rfam family: Bacterial small subunit ribosomal RNA
Source: RNAcentral